RNAcentral lists this ribosomal RNA (260 nucleotides) under Hanseniaspora uvarum. RNAcentral's name for it is "partial 26S ribosomal RNA". It matches the Rfam family "Eukaryotic large subunit ribosomal RNA", at positions 90 to 442 of the family's 3401-position model. The record is from RNAcentral. Lineage: Eukaryota; Fungi; Ascomycota; Saccharomycetes; Saccharomycodales; Saccharomycodaceae.
CGAUGUGAAGCGGUAAAAGCUCAAAUUCGAAAUCUGGUUACUUUCAGUGCCCGAGUUGUAAUUGUAAGACUUUUUCGAAGAGUCGAGUUGUUUGGGAAUGCAGCUCAAAGUGGGUGGUAAAUUCCAUCUAAAGCUAAAUAUUGGCGAGAGACCGAUAGCGAACAAGUACAGUGAUGGAAAGAUGAAAAGAACUUUGAAAAGAGAGUGAAAAAGUACGUGAAAUUGUUGAAAGGGAAGGGCAUUUGAUCAGACAUGGUGUU